CUAAACAUGCAAGUCGAACGGAGGCCCGAAGCUUGCUUCGGAUACCUUAGUGGCGAACGGGUGAGUAACACGUGGGAAUCUACCUAAGAAUGGGGAAUAACUAUUGGAAACGAUAGCUAAUACCGCAUAAUCCCUGAGGGGUAAAGGCUUCGGCCGUUUUUAGAUGAGCCCGCGCUAGAUUAGGUUGUUGGUAGGGUAAAAGCCUACCAAGCCUACUAUCUAUAGCUGGUCUGAGAGGAUGAUCAGCCACACUGGGACUGAGACACGGCCCAGACUCCUACGGGAGGCAGCAGUGGGGAAUAUUGGACAAUGGGGGAAACCCUGAUCCAGCAAUGCCGCGUGAGUGAAGAAGGCCCUAGGGUUGUAAAGCUCUUUCAGAAGUGAAGAUGAUGACUGUAACUUCAGAAGAAGAUCCGGCUAACUCCGUGCCAGCAGCCGCGGUAAUACGGAGGGAUCUAGCGUUGUUCGGAAUUACUGGGCGUAAAGGGCGCGUAGGCGGUAUGAUUAGUCAGAGGUGAAAUCCCUAAGCUUAACUUAGGAACUGCCUUUGACACUGUCAUACUAGAGAACGAGAGAGGUGAGUGGAAUUCCAAGUGUAGAGGUGAAAUUCGUAGAUAUUUGGAAGAACACCAGUGGCGAAAGCGGCUCACUGGCUCGUUUCUGACGCUAAGGCGCGAAAGCGUGGGUAGCAAACAGGAUUAGAUACCCUGGUAGUCCACGCUGUAAACGAUGAAUGCUAGCCGUUUGAGGUUUUACNUUCAGUGGUGCAGUUAACGCGUUAAGCAUUCCGCCUGGGGAGUACGAUCGCAAGAUUAAAACUCAAAG
RNAcentral lists this ribosomal RNA (825 nucleotides) under uncultured marine bacterium. RNAcentral describes it as "bacterial SSU rRNA". It matches the Rfam family "Bacterial small subunit ribosomal RNA", at positions 49 to 906 of the family's 1533-position model. The record is from RNAcentral.